UGGGGAAUAUUGGACAAUGGGCGAAAGCCUGAUCCAGCCAUGCCGCGUGUGUGAAGAAGGUCUUCGGAUUGUAAAGCACUUUAAGUUGGGAGGAAGGGCAUUAACCUAAUACGUUAGUGUUUUGACGUUACCGACAGAAUAAGCACCGGCUAACUCUGUGCCAGCAGCCGCGGUAAUACAGAGGGGGCAAGCGUUAAUCUGAAUUACUGGGCGUAAAGCGCGCGUAGGUGGUUUGUUAAGUUGGAUGUGAAAUCCCCGGGCUCAACCUGGGAACUGCAUUCAAAACUGACUGACUAGAGUAUGGUAGAGGGUGGUGGAAUUUCCUGUGUAGCGGUGAAAUGCGUAGAUAUAGGAAGGAACACCAGUGGCGAAGGCGACCACCUGGACUAAUACUGACACUGAGGUGCGAAAGCGUGGGGAGCAAACA
This 427-nucleotide ribosomal RNA is filed under the name uncultured bacterium. RNAcentral's name for it is "partial 16S ribosomal RNA". It matches the Rfam family "Bacterial small subunit ribosomal RNA", at positions 355 to 774 of the family's 1533-position model. The record is from RNAcentral.